AACACAUGCAAGUCGAACGAGAGAUGAGGAGCUUGCUCUUCAAAUCGAGUGGCGAACGGGUGAGUAACGCGUGAGGAACCUGCCUCAAAGAGGGGGACAACAGUUGGAAACGACUGCUAAUACCGCAUAAGCCCACGGCUCGGCAUCGAGCAGAGGGAAAAGGAGCAAUCCGCUUUGAGAUGGCCUCGCGUCCGAUUAGCUAGUUGGUGAGGUAAUGGCCCACCAAGGCGACGAUCGGUAGCCGGACUGAGAGGUUGAACGGCCACAUUGGGACUGAGACACGGCCCAGACUCCUACGGGAGGCAGCAGUGGGGAAUAUUGCGCAAUGGGGGAAACCCUGAUGCAGCGACGCCGCGUGGAGGAAGAAGGUCUUCGGAUUGUAAACUCCUGUUGUUGAGGAAGAUAAUGACGGUACUCAACAAGGAAGUGACGGCUAACUACGUGCCAGCAGCCGCGGUAAAACGUAGGUCACAAGCGUUGUCCGGAAUUACUGGGUGUAAAGGGAGCGCAGGCGGGAGAACAAGUUGGAAGUGAAAUCCAUGGGCUCAACCCAUGAACUGCUUUCAAAACUGUUUUUCUUGAGUAGUGCAGAGGUAGGCGGAAUUCCCGGUGUAGCGGUGGAAUGCGUAGAUAUCGGGAGGAACACCAGUGGCGAAGGCGG
Molecule: ribosomal RNA, 661 nt
Filed under: uncultured Lachnospiraceae bacterium
Lineage: Bacteria; Bacillati; Bacillota; Clostridia; Lachnospirales; Lachnospiraceae
Description: bacterial SSU rRNA
Rfam family: Bacterial small subunit ribosomal RNA
Source: RNAcentral